Molecule: long non-coding RNA, 731 nt
Organism: Malania oleifera
Lineage: Eukaryota; Viridiplantae; Streptophyta; Magnoliopsida; Santalales; Ximeniaceae
Exons: 3
Source: RefSeq, a predicted model, not a curated record
AUGAAUCAACAAACGUCACCCUGGGCAAUAAUACACACCAAACCAAAUCAAACCCAAUAAUUCCCAAACCAGACGAUCCCCAAGGAGCUAGAGAAGAAAUCCAAGAUAGAAGAAAUAUUCAGAGAAUGCCCAUAUUUAGUGUGGUGGUGAAUGUGAUGCUGCGAAAGAGCCUCACCGUUUUCUGGGAAACUGCACGCUUGCUUGCCGACUUGGCUUCAGUUCUCACGUCCACCAUCCGCUUCUCUGCCAUCUUUCUCCGGCGAUCUACCCCUCUUUCCGCCCGGCCCUUCUCUCCCAUGUCCUCCAUGCUCGGGACUCGACCUGAUCGGUAGUUCUUCGUCAAAUUCACUAUGCAUGCCGUAAUUUUCCGGAGGAGUCCUAGGAUAUAAGCACUCAGGAGAAGAUUGAAGUUGUUGGUAAAAAGAAAGAAGAAGGAAAUGCAUUGUUCAAGACUGAUAAAUAUCUUAGAACUUCAAAGAGAUAUGAAAAGGGUUUGCGGCUGUUACAACAUCAGCACGAUGUCAUGCACCACAGUCAAAUGCAGCUUUUGAUUAUUUUUUUAAUAUUUUUUUUAUCUGAACAGAUAUAAUUUCUUUAUUUGAAUUUGAAUUUUCAUAAUGUAUCUGUAUUUGAAUUUGAAUUUGAAUUUUGAAUUUUUUUUGUUAUCUAAACAUAUGGAAUUUUUGUAUUCUAAUUGAAUUUCAAUAAUAUAUUUGUAUUUGAAUUUCAAA